RNAcentral lists this ribosomal RNA (433 nucleotides) under uncultured bacterium. Its description in RNAcentral is "partial 16S ribosomal RNA". It matches the Rfam family "Bacterial small subunit ribosomal RNA", at positions 29 to 507 of the family's 1533-position model. The record is from RNAcentral.
AACGAGCGCUGGCGGCAUGCCUAACACAUGCAAGUCGAACGAGACCUUCGGGUCUAGUGGCGCACGGGUGCGUAACGCGUGGGAACCUGCCCUUAGGUUCGGAAUAACUCCCCGAAAGGGGUGCUAAUACCGGAUAAUGUCUUCGGACCAAAGAUUUAUCGCCUUUGGAUGGGCCCGCGUUGGAUUAGCUAGUUGGUAGGGUAAAAGCCUACCAAGGCGACGAUCCAUAGCUGGUCUGAGAGGAUGAUCAGCCACGCUGGGACUGAGACACGGCCCAGACUCCUACGGGAGGCAGCAGUGGGGAAUAUUGGACAAUGGGCGAAAGCCUGAUACAGCAAUGCCGCGUGAGUGAUGAAGGCCUUAGGGUUGUAAAGCUCUUUUACCCGGGAUGAUAAUGACAGUACCGGGAGAAUAAGCUCCGGCUAACUCCGUG